UAGAGAUAGCUGGUUAUUCAGGAAAAGGAUAUUAGUCCUACUUUAAACCUCCACAUAACACCAAAUACACCUAUAAGUUUAAAAUUUAUUCAAAUAAGGUACAGCCUAUUUGAAACAGGAUACAACCUAUAACAGAGGGUAAUGCCAAAACCAACGUGACCAAGUAGGCCUAAGAGCAGCCAUCUUUUAAAAAGCGUUAAAGCCUUAUCACACUUCAUAAUUAAUGUCAACCAAAACCCAAAACCCCUCAUCCAUACUGAAUCACUCCAUACCCAUAUGGAAGAUCCCAUGUUUGAACUAGUAACAAGAACAACUUCUCCAUAAACGUAAAUGUAAGUCGGAAUGGACCACCCACCGACACUUACCGCCAAUGAGCCUAUAGUAACAACUUCCUCAAGAAAACUUUACUUUCUCCCCAACGUUAACCUUACACAAGAACUUUACUGGAAAGAUUAAAAAAAGAGGAAGGAACUCGGCAAACACUAACCCCGCCUGUUUACCAA
RNAcentral lists this ribosomal RNA (503 nucleotides) under Callulops robustus (robust frog). RNAcentral describes it as "partial 16S ribosomal RNA". Lineage: Eukaryota; Metazoa; Chordata; Amphibia; Anura; Microhylidae. The record is from RNAcentral.